This 329-nucleotide unclassified non-coding RNA is filed under the name soil metagenome. RNAcentral's name for it is "partial contains 5.8S ribosomal RNA, internal transcribed spacer 2, and large subunit ribosomal RNA". The stretch from base 1 to 120 matches the Rfam family "5.8S ribosomal RNA", at positions 35 to 154 of the family's 154-position model. The record is from RNAcentral.
GAUGAAGAACGUAGCGAAAUGCGAUAAGUAAUGUGAAUUGCAGAAUUCAGUGAAUCAUCGAAUCUUUGAACGCACAUUGCGCCCCUUGGUAUUCCGAGGGGCAUGCCUGUUCGAGCGUCAUUAUAACCCCUCAAGCUCAGCUUGGUGUUGGGGCCUGCUGCACUGGCAGCCCUUAAAAUCAGUGGCGGCGCCAUCUGGCUCUAAGCGUAGUAAUUCUUCUCGCUAUGGAGUCCUGGUGGAUGCUUGCCAUCAACCCCCAAUUUUUCUAUGGUUGACCUCGGAUCAGGUAGGGAUACCCGCUGAACUUAAGCAAAUCAAUAAGCGGAGGA